Molecule: ribosomal RNA, 327 nt
Filed under: uncultured fungus
Lineage: Eukaryota; Fungi
Description: SSU rRNA
Rfam family: Eukaryotic small subunit ribosomal RNA
Source: RNAcentral
AAAGAUUAAGCCAUGCAUGUCUAAGUAUAAGCAAUUAUACCGUGAAACUGCGAAUGGCUCAUUAAAUCAGUUAUCGUUUAUUUGAUAGUACCUUACUACUUGGAUAACCGUGGUAAUUCUAGAGCUAAUACAUGCUGAAAACCCCAACUUCGGAAGGGGUGUAUUUAUUAGAUAAAAAACCAACGCCCUUCGGGGCUUCUUGGUGAUUCAUGAUAACUUUACGGAUCGCAUGGCCUUGCGCCGGCGACGGUUCAUUCAAAUUUCUGGCCUAUCAACUUUCGAUGGUAAGGUAUUGGCUUACCAUGGUUUCAACGGGUAACGGGGAAU